RNAcentral lists this ribosomal RNA (254 nucleotides) under uncultured bacterium. RNAcentral's name for it is "partial 16S ribosomal RNA". It matches the Rfam family "Bacterial small subunit ribosomal RNA", at positions 524 to 776 of the family's 1533-position model. The record is from RNAcentral.
UACGUAGGGUUCGAGCGUUGUCCGGAUUUAUUGGGCGUAAAGAGCUCGUAGGCGGUCUGUCGCGUCGAUCGUGAAAACUUGGGGCUUAACCCUGAGCUUGCGGUCGAUACGGGCAUGACUGGAGUUCGGCAGGGGAGACUGGAAUUCCUGGUGUAGCGGUGAAAUGCGCAGAUAUCAGGAGGAACACCGGUGGCGAAGGCGGGUCUCUGGGCCGAUACUGACGCUGAGGAGCGAAAGCGUGGGGAGCGAACAGG